GUGGGUGUAGCUCAACGGCAGAGCAGCGGGCUUUUAACCCGUUGGUUCUGGGUUCGAGUCCCAGCACCCACA
This 72-nucleotide transfer RNA is filed under the name Lotharella oceanica. RNAcentral describes it as "tRNA-Lys". It matches the Rfam family "tRNA". Rfam says of the family: Transfer RNA (tRNA) molecules are approximately 80 nucleotides in length. Their secondary structure includes four short double-helical elements and three loops (D, anti-codon, and T loops). The record is from RNAcentral. Lineage: Eukaryota; Cercozoa; Chlorarachniophyceae.